Carica papaya (papaya) is the source of this 674-nucleotide non-coding RNA. The record is from RefSeq and is a predicted model, not a curated record. Lineage: Eukaryota; Viridiplantae; Streptophyta; Magnoliopsida; Brassicales; Caricaceae.
UACAAAAUUUACAAAUCAGUUAGAAUAUCUACAAUGAGACCAAAAUCCUCAGUACAAUCAAGGUUAUGCCCUAAAAUAGUAGAGCCAAAAUAAUGAAACCAAUUAUCCUUGAUAGUGUUGAAGUCAAGUUCUUUUCCCUCAAAAGCACGAUUGUUUCUUCUUUCCAAAUAACCAUAAAAAUGGUGAUUGGAAUAAGUCUUAGCAUUUUAUUUCUUCUGCUAAAACCCUCCCAGGCCAGUAAUUCAGUGGAGAUUGUCUCAGCCAUAACCCAGGAGGUGCCCAAAAGGCCAAGAACUAUGGACCAAAGCUGUCGUGAAACCAAUUAUCCUUGAUAGUGUUGAAGUCAAGUUCUUUUCCCUCAAAAGCACGAUUGUUUCUUCUUUCCAAAUAACCAUAAAAAUGGUGAUUGGAAUAAGUCUUAGCAUUUUAUUUCUUCUGCUAAAACCCUCCCAGGCCAGUAAUUCAGUAGAGAUUGUCUCAGCCAUAACCCAGGAGGUGCUCAAAAGGCCAAGAACUAUGGACCAAAGCUGUCGUGAAGUAGAGCAUCUGAGUAGCAGAUGAUUACAGGAUUCCAAACAAUUUUUGCAGAGAUAACUUUGUUUACAGUAGUAAUACCACAUUUCAUCAGGUUGUCCAGGGUGAGUAUCCUUUCCUUGGCAGCCUCCCAAGCAAAA